RNAcentral lists this long non-coding RNA (929 nucleotides) under Octopus vulgaris (common octopus). The record is from RNAcentral. Lineage: Eukaryota; Metazoa; Mollusca; Cephalopoda; Octopoda; Octopodidae.
ACUAAGUUUCUGUUCUAAUCGCAAUUCUUUUACUUCAUAGAUGUAUUACUGUUUAGGUAAUAAUGAAUUAAUGAUUAUAGAAAGUCUAUUUUCAGUUUCAUAAUAAUAGACAUGCUUGGCUGCUGUUAGUUUUUGAUGACAACAAUGAGAAAUAUUUUGUUUGUAUUGCUUCUGUUAGUUACUUCACAUAAUCAGGAUAGGAGAGAUGGCUUUAGCAAUUAAAUGUUUUACUAGAACUAGUUCAAAACCCUCACCCUCUUCACUUGAAGGUCCCACUGGAAAUGACUUUGCCUUUCAUUCAUCUUGGGUCAAUUUAGCUAAUUUCAAUUUUGCAAAACAAUGGCCUUAUGCCAAUUUAUAUUUAAAAAAAUGGCAAUAUUUAGUUAUAAAUGCUGACCAAUUUCUUUGUUUUUCAAGUAAUGGUUGCCUAAUAUUAUAUCUUUGUAUUUUGUUGAAAAAAAAAAAAUUGUACAGUACCUUUGACCUUCUGAAUCUCAUCCACCUGCGAAUAUAUUUUGGGCUCAUGUUUAACAAGUUUUUUUUUUCUUCCCCAAUAUAUGUUGUUCUUCAUUUUUGUUUCAAAACCUAUUUUCUCAAACUGCCGGAAGUUAUUUUCAUUUAUUUUCCAAUGGAAAAAAAUUAUUUUCGGCUUAAUAUGUUUUCUUUAUUUUUUGGUUUUGAACAUUGCAAAAAAAUAAAUAAUUGUGAUUAAUUUCAUCUUUAAAAAAAAACAUUUGUGAGAAUUAUCUGAAGUCAUUUAUAUUCUUCAAAUAAUCUUAAAUAUUUAAGCUGUGAUAUAUCUGAUUGUGUGGCUGUUUUUUAUGUUUUUUUUUUUAUAUAUAUUCUGCUGUAGCCAGCUUGCUUUUAUGUCUCCAGUGUUACCAAUAACACACUCCUGGAAUUAAUCAACUUUAUUUUACUAUUCUAGC